GCCUGGAUAACUGAUAUACACUAUUGACACAUUGUUCCAAAACUAUAUAAGCAUAAUAAGAUCGUUAAAAUUCCUAACAUUCUAUAAACCAACGGGCUGACAUAGCCAUGUCAUUAUCGUCCGAACUUACCCGAAACAAUGUCCGAACAUACCCGAAACUGUCCGAAGUUCCCCACAGGUGGUUUUACCCGUGGAUAUGCAUUUUUUUAACUGUUGAUAAG
Molecule: long non-coding RNA, 221 nt
Filed under: Mytilus galloprovincialis (Mediterranean mussel)
Lineage: Eukaryota; Metazoa; Mollusca; Bivalvia; Mytilida; Mytilidae
Source: RNAcentral